GCGGAAUCUUUAAAAUCGCCUUGAGGGAUACAGAGAGAGACAGCGCAGCUAGGCUGUAUGCACGGGGUUGUGAUAUUAGGCUAAAAUAUUUGCGCGGACCCUGUCAUUGUUAUUACAUGGGAAGCCAAUAAGAAAGCUUCGUUUCGUUUACAACUAAUAAGAGGGCAGAUUGUAAAUAAUCUGAUCUUCACGAUUUUCUAGUAUUCUCCAUUCCUUGGCCAAAGCUUUGGGUUAUGACCAAAAGCAUUUUGAAUUCUUGUUGUACAAAUCUUGUCCUUUGGCUGUGCCUGUGGGGAAUUUCUUUUAGGGUUGGCUUGCUGGUGGGAACUCCAGAGUAGUUUAUAUUAUAGUAUACUUGAUAUAAGAUCAGCCUUUAUCAAAACAUCCACUGUCAGCAUUUUCAAAUUGAGCGAGAGAGUAAGAAUAACGCCUAAAUUCUGAAACAUUCAGAAGUUCAAUGUUACAUAAAAGAAUUUGUAUAUAUCAUAAUAUGUCCAAAAUUUUCUAGAUUAGUUUCAAAGACAUCCAGUUAAAGCUUUUAUUUUUUUAGAGAAUACUAUAUGUAAAAUAUUUUAUUUUUUUAUUUAUAUAUAGAUAUUCUUUUUUUAUAAGAACAUGAAUAUGGAAGAAAGCCCCUUUAAUGUUAUUAACAUUUGAAAUGCAGCCUAUAAAUAUUCUUGAGAUGUUCUUAAUUUACCGUAAAUGACGAAUAAGCACGUGGAGAGGAACCUUAUUUAAUUUCGCCCAUUGCACGGGGCGCUUAAUUGGCAGGGCAGUUAGUUAAGUUGUAGUGCUUAUUCAGCAGGGGGUGAUUAUUCUGUUAUUUACGGUGUUACCGUAAUUUGAUGAUAAUUUCUACAGAUGUAGCACUUGGAAUUUUUAUAUUUUUUUUAUAUUUUUAUUAAAAAAAAUUGUAGUCAAGCUUCACAAAGCCUUACAAUAAUCUUAACAUGUUCUUAAAUUUUAAUACUUAUGUUCUUAUAUACUUUGUUUCGUCAUCAGAACAAAAGACAUUAAUUUUGAACUUA
Long non-coding RNA from Hydractinia symbiolongicarpus, 1028 nucleotides. RefSeq lists it as uncharacterized. The transcript has 2 exons. NCBI's taxonomy places the organism in Eukaryota, Metazoa, Cnidaria, Hydrozoa, Anthoathecata, Hydractiniidae. The record is from RefSeq and is a predicted model, not a curated record.